ACAGGAUGUCGCUUCCAUCACUUCGGUGUCAAACCUGAGUCAAAGUCUAAAAAGAAGAGACCAUCACACACACUGCAUUUCAUCUGGAACUAUGCCAACACCUGUAGCCCCUGACAGUAACAAGGGAAAGCGGAGGAGCGGAGAAGAUUAAGAAGAUACUACUUUUUUUGUAGGGUCCCGUCAUGGAACUGAGGAGGUUAAAAGUGGCAUCCUGCGCCACUGUUAGAGCAGAAGAAGUCACCCUCUUGACCACCCCAAUCUGGAGUAAGAAGCCCCCCCUUGUGAAUCUUGCUUCAAUUUGGCAUGAAAUAAAUAGAUCUACAGUGUGCUGGAGGAAUGGAAGGGAUACAGCAACACACCUUUCCAAGCAAGCCAUUAUUAUGAUAAC
This is a long non-coding RNA of Colossoma macropomum (tambaqui), 388 nucleotides long. RefSeq lists it as uncharacterized. Lineage: Eukaryota; Metazoa; Chordata; Actinopteri; Characiformes; Serrasalmidae. The record is from RefSeq and is a predicted model, not a curated record. The transcript has 3 exons.